This 253-nucleotide ribosomal RNA is filed under the name uncultured bacterium. Its description in RNAcentral is "partial 16S ribosomal RNA". It matches the Rfam family "Bacterial small subunit ribosomal RNA", at positions 524 to 776 of the family's 1533-position model. The record is from RNAcentral.
UACGGGGGUUGCAAGCGUUGUUCGAAAUUACUGGGCGUAAAGCGUGCGUAGGCGGUCGCGUAAGUCCUGGGUGAAAUCCUUCGGCUUAACCGGAGAGGGUCCCAGGAUACUGUGCGACUGGAGUGUGAGAGGGGAGAGCGGAAUUCCGAGUGUAGUGGUGAAAUACGUAGAUAUUCGGAGGAACACCGGCGGCGAAAGCGGCUCUCUGGCUCACAACUGACGCUGAGGCACGAAAGCGUGGGGAGCAAACAGG